UAGGGAAUCUUCGGCAAUGGGGGGAACCCUGACCGAGCAACGCCGCGUGAGUGAAGAAGGUUUUCGGAUCGUAAAGCCCUUUUGUUAAGGAAGAACGAGUGUGAGAAUGGAAAGUUCAUGCUGUGACGGUACUUAACCAGAAAGGGACGGCUAACUACGUGCCAGCAGCCGCGGUAAUACGUAGGUCUCGAGCGUUGUUCGGAUUUAUUGGGCGUAAAGCGAGCGCAGGCGGUUAGAAAAGUCUGAAGUGAAAGGCAGUGGCUCAACCAUUGUAGGCGUUGGAAACUGGUUAACUUGAGUGCAGAAGGGGAGAGGGGAAUUCCAUGUGUAGCGGAGAAAUGCGGAGAUAAAUGGAGGGAAAACGGUGGGGAAAGCGGCUCUCUGGUCUGAAACUGACGCUGAGGCUCGAAAGCGUGGGGAGGGAACAAG
This 429-nucleotide ribosomal RNA is filed under the name Bacteroidota bacterium. RNAcentral's name for it is "Bacteroidetes bacterium partial 16S ribosomal RNA". It matches the Rfam family "Bacterial small subunit ribosomal RNA", at positions 355 to 776 of the family's 1533-position model. The record is from RNAcentral. Lineage: Bacteria; Pseudomonadati; Bacteroidota.